Molecule: non-coding RNA, 1716 nt
Organism: Myodes glareolus (Bank vole)
Lineage: Eukaryota; Metazoa; Chordata; Mammalia; Rodentia; Cricetidae
Source: RefSeq, a predicted model, not a curated record
CUGCAGAACAGUUGCCGCCCUGCCAAGUCCUCUGUGGAUUAGAGGCAGAUUGCAACUCACCUGGCCUACUAAUUCAGCAUAAGAUUUUACCAAAAGGCAACACUUUUGGUAGAGUCAUACCGAUAUUUAAGAGUGCUUAGAAAUCGGAGUGGGUUAGGAUAUCUAUCCUCCCCUUUAUAUUUAGCAUAAGAACAUUUCUUUGCCAAAGUCUGUUUCCAAAAUUUCAUCACUUUCGGAGAAAAGAAUAAACGACACACAGAGGAGAAGCGUGCAAUUGAGUGGAAAUAACGGAGCUGCAGCCUUCCUCCUCUUUGAUGCUACGGGAGAUUUAUUGGCUUCAAAACUCUUUUCACGCAUUUCUUAUCCCUUUUCCUCAGAGUUUUACGGACUACAUCGGGAAGCCGAUUUAAAAUCCUUGGCUCAAACCGAAAGAGUUGUCCUUGUAUAAGAAUUUCUCUUCCCACUGAAUGCCUCUUUACUCAGGUUCCAACAUAUGUGAACACAGUUAUCGGGGACAUUUCUAGCAGGGUAGCUAAACAACGAAUGAAAAGGAAAGACUUCAUGAUUUCACAACAUCUGUAGCUACUAUUCGUGUUUCAGCAAAUAGCUCUCGAUAAGAAGAGAUACCUACACAGAAAAUACCUGACGUCAGUGUGCGGUCCAUCCGUUGACAGCUGUUGUCUGGAGGAUCAUUAAUCAUUUUCCCUCUUAAUAAAUAUACUUUCAUGGCAUUUCAAAAUAGGAGUAGUAUACAGCUGUGGUUUUGAACCAUGAUUUAUGACCAAAUUUUUUGUCGGUCAUUUAGAAAAUUCCUGGUACCUCUGUGAUUACAAGCACUAUUGUGGGGAAAAAGCUGAAUUGGAUGCACAUUCUCAUUUAUUUAUUCCAGUCUGCUCUUGGAGCUAGAAUUGCUGGUUCACACAUUUAAGGUCUUUUGAUCCAUGAUGCUAAAUAGACAAUUUGUAUUCCCACCAACAGCCCAUUUUCAUCCGUAGUCUUCUGCUCCGAGUGUCAUCAUUUUAUAGCCAUUUUUUUUUCAUUUUAUGGGCAAAUCUGGUAUCUUGUUUAAUUUACUUUUCAUGCAUGAAUAAUUAGGCUGGAUAUUUUUCCAGCCUAAUCAUUUUUUGAUCACUGGAAUCUUAGCUUUCUCCUCAUGUCCUUGCCUGCUUUUCUGGCCAAGAAUCAAGACCUCUGACAUGGAUCCGUGCUCCUUCCCCUCAGGCCUUCAGUGUGGUCGAUUCUGCUUGUCAGAGCAGACACUUCUGAUGCUUCGCGGCCUCCUGCUCAACUCCUACACACCCAAGAAGCAGACAGGGCCAGUCCUGGAGUCCGUACUGUGGUGGAGAUUGAAACUGUGGGCCUUACUGUGGACAGAUCCCUACGCUGCGGCCAUUUUUGUAGCGGACUCCCUCAGGAGUCUUCCAGGAAAGCACUCUAAUAAGCUAAUCACGCUGAUGUCUAAUGACUCUCAUAACUUACUAUCUUUUCCUGAGUUAUUUGCAUUUAAAUGGAGAAACCUGAGGCAAUUGCUACUUAAUGUGCCCUGUCAAACCAGGGAGAAGAACCUAUUUGGGGGCCUGGAGUCUUCCUGCCCCAGAAAUCACACCGCAGAAGCCCACCUGCUCCGUCUAUGGGUGAUCCUGAGUUCUCAACUGUCUUGACAUAAAACCAGCAAUAGUGGUAUGAACAUGUACAAUAUAAGGCCAGAGGGAAAUA